This 253-nucleotide ribosomal RNA is filed under the name uncultured bacterium. RNAcentral's name for it is "partial 16S ribosomal RNA". It matches the Rfam family "Bacterial small subunit ribosomal RNA", at positions 524 to 776 of the family's 1533-position model. The record is from RNAcentral.
UACGGAGGAUCCAAGCGUUAUCCGGAAUCAUUGGGUUUAAAGGGUCCGUAGGUGGACUGUUAAGUCAGGGGUGAGAGUCUGCAGCUCAACUGUAGAAUUGCCCUUGAUACUGGUAGUCUUGAGUUAUUAUGAAGUGGUUAGAAUAUGUGGUGUAGCGGUGAAAUGCAUAGAUAUCACAUAGAAUACCGAUUGCGAAGGCAGAUCACUAAUAAUACACUGACACUGAUGGACGAAAGCGUGGGUAGCGAACAGG